RNAcentral lists this transfer RNA (63 nucleotides) under Typosyllis antoni. Its description in RNAcentral is "tRNA-Glu". The record is from RNAcentral. Lineage: Eukaryota; Metazoa; Annelida; Polychaeta; Phyllodocida; Syllidae.
CUACUCAUAGUAUAAAAAAUACAUUGAUCCUUCACAUCAAAAAUUUAUUUAAUAAUGAGUAUU